UACAGAGGUCUCGAGCGUUGUUCGGAUUCAUUGGGCGUAAAGGGUGCGUAGGCGGCGAGGUAAGUCGGAUGUGAAAUCCCGGGGCUCAACCCCGGAACUGCAUUCGAUACUGCCGUGCUUGAGGACUGGAGAGGAGACUGGAAUUUACGGUGUAGCGGUGAAAUGCGUAGAUAUCGUAAGGAAGACCAGUGGCGAAGGCGGGUCUCUGGACAGUUCCUGACGCUGAGGCACGAAGGUCAGGGGAGCAAACGGG
RNAcentral lists this ribosomal RNA (253 nucleotides) under uncultured bacterium. RNAcentral's name for it is "partial 16S ribosomal RNA". It matches the Rfam family "Bacterial small subunit ribosomal RNA", at positions 524 to 776 of the family's 1533-position model. The record is from RNAcentral.